Molecule: unclassified non-coding RNA, 311 nt
Filed under: uncultured fungus
Lineage: Eukaryota; Fungi
Description: sequence contains ITS2
Source: RNAcentral
AACGCACAUUGCGCUCUUUGGUAUUCCGAAGAGCAUGCCUGUUUGAGCGUAAUUUAAAUUACCCUUACCUAUUUCCCCCAUUUUCUGAAAGGAAGAAAGGGGAGGUAUGGUAGUUUUGGUUGUGUAGGGCCUUAAUUCUAUUGGGGGCCUACUCGACUGAAAUUGAUUGCAGAUUUUUUAAAGUGUGAUAAGAAAUUACUCGCUUUUCCUUAUGGACAUGUAUUUUUAAUAUGUGUUCUGAAAUCCUUUUGCAAGAAUUUAUUUUACACCAUUUUUACCUCAAAUCAGGUAGGACUACGCGCUGAACUUAA